This 243-nucleotide ribosomal RNA is filed under the name uncultured Lactobacillus sp. RNAcentral describes it as "partial 16S ribosomal RNA". It matches the Rfam family "Bacterial small subunit ribosomal RNA", at positions 118 to 355 of the family's 1533-position model. The record is from RNAcentral. Lineage: Bacteria; Bacillati; Bacillota; Bacilli; Lactobacillales; Lactobacillaceae.
UGGGUAACCUGCCCAAGAGAUCGGGAUAACACCUGGAAACAGAUGCUAAUACCGGAUAACAACAGAUGAUGCCUAUCAACUGUUUAAAAGAUGGUUCUGCUAUCACUCUUGGAUGGACCUGCGGUGCAUUAGCUAGUUGGUAGGGUAACGGCCUACCAAGGCGAUGAUGCAUAGCCGAGUUGAGAGACUGAUCGGCCACAUUGGGACUGAGACACGGCCCAAACUCCUACGGGAGGCAGCGGC